Molecule: ribosomal RNA, 2661 nt
Filed under: Triticum aestivum (bread wheat)
Lineage: Eukaryota; Viridiplantae; Streptophyta; Magnoliopsida; Poales; Poaceae
Description: partial small subunit ribosomal RNA
Source: RNAcentral
GAGGGAAGCUACGCACGAGAGAUCUAAGCAUGCCCGUACCGCGGCGACCACCGCCGGCCAGGAGAAGAGGACGGUAGGCGACGGGACAAGAGGAAGGGGAGGAGUAGACGGGCGUCGGGUGUGUAGGCGGGGGCGAGGUCGACGUCCAGAAGGAGGUCUGCCGCUGCCGCCACGGUUUCCCGGGUUGUAGGGUUGACAACCUUCCGUUUAGGGAUCUGGGUUUAGGGGAGGGCGACGUCGGCCUCUGCUGAGGUUCGGGGAGGGUCAGCAUUCGGCCUCCUGCUCCGGGACCUAAGGCAGCGGCUCCUCCUCGGCCGCCAACUCCACCUCCUCCUCCAGCGCCACCACACCUCCUCCAGGCCCUCAUGAACCUCGGCAGCCUCCUCCGGUUCCACAUGUACACGUCGGAAUGGAUGCUGCAGUCGUCGAUCGUGGACUGCGUCGAGAAGCUAGUCCGGCCGCAGCUCCAAAGGAUCUACCGACGAUACGAUGAAAAAAGCUACUAGUUAGUAGCACUCAAAGUUUCUUUGAAGGUUACAAUAGAGGCGGCUCAAGCGGUCACCUUCUUCUUGUAGGCAACUCGGUAGGUUACAGCGGACGACGCCGAUAUGGUCUCCAUACAUAGGGGAACUUUCGAUUAGUCAACUAUCUUCGGGGACAAAGUCAAAUAACAAAGACUUAACCACGGUGAAGACUACCGAGAACAAAGUCAAAUAACAAAGACUUAACCUGUCAUCUAUCUUCGGGGACUUGGCUGGGUAGAUAGAAUACAGUGUAGGUUGUCUAUAUUAGUAUACAAAAACACAACACGUGGUUCUACCGCGUCGUAGUCUACAAAGGACACUGUUAAAGAUGAAACAAAAUACCUUGUUAAGUAUGUUCCCACGUGUUAUACCGUUUGUAUAUAUACGUGAAGAACAUUAAGAUUUUAUUAUACAACGGGUUUUACUUGUUAAGCCGUCAACGUUUAAAAUGUCCUCGCUAAAGGUGACUUCCUUCACUACAAGUGUUAACAGCAAAAUACAAAACUAGAUAAAAGGGAAAAUAAAAAAAUGUUCUCGCUUGAAGAUGUACUACGUUCGAUUGAGGGUCUCGAAUAUGUGCGAUUGACGAUGACUGAGGGUUUCACCUGUGAAAAAUAACAUAUUGACGACCUGUAAAUUACCGAUUGACUUGUCUUAGCUAUUACACAUUUAAUGACUUUGUUUUUCACCUGGCUCGUGUAUCGCCACUUGAAUACACCAAAAAGUCAGUCGAUCGAAGAUGUCGGUAGGUCCUCAUUGUGAUUGACGACCUUGGUCCCAUCUUUCUAUUACUUACUUAAGACUAUAUGUCUUACUAGAACAAUUUCCUAUGCUGAAAACAAGUUAAAAAGGGAGCCUACAACUAAAAUGAACCACUAUCAAUUAGGGUUACGUUGGACAAACAUAAGUACAGACAUCCUCGACUAACCAGAAGAAUAAACUGAACAUCUACUCGUGGUUCGACAAAAAGAAAACUACAUGAAAUGUGUGGAUAAACGAGACCUCUACGAGGAAAACACGUAAGUAAAGUCUGUCAUAAAAUAUUGAAGACAGGUAACUCUUUAAGCCUAGACAAUCAACUAAAUAGAUACACGAAACACAAUUCACUUCUAUUGGAAUACACUUCUAUUAAGUCUGUCACAAUGACAUUGAAAACAGGUAAGUCUUUCACGACUUCCGGCCCAACACAGCUAGGCCAUUCACAACCGCCUGCUAUAUCAAAGGCUAACGAGAACAAAAUAAAAUAACAAAGACUUAACCGGUCAUCUAUCUUCGAGCGAAUUAAUACCACUAAUUAGGUUGCAACAACCUAUAACAAAGUUAGUUUUAGUUAGACACAUUGGAGUAUUAAGUAACCUACAUCCGGUGACCGUCGACGGCGAAAAGACUAUUAUCAUUUGAGGUCCUCAAGAGGUAAACAUGUUUGAAAGUCUCUAAGUAUGUCAAGUCUGUUCAUUAUGAUUUAACGACAUUUAAAAAAUAAACACUGUCCCUGGAGGACGUGUAGCAGAGACAGUGAGACACAGUCGGCACACGAGGACCAUGACCGUCACACAGGUUAGUGUCGGUUAAAAUAACCGUAUGUAUGAACUUGAGACUUGAGAAAAGUCUACCACAACAUUUUUGUAACCGAGUAUCUAAAACAAUCAUUAAUAAUAAGUCUUGUAAAGGAAAAUUCAGUUUCUCUAAACACUAAGUGUAGCUCUCACACCUCCCAAAUUCAAGUCUUUAUGAUCGACUGACGGUUACAUAAUUACCAAUCUGUAAAAAAAUUAGGAUAAAUGAACAGGAGGUCCCAUUAAUAUUAUCGUAGAACUCGGGUCCAUGUCACAAUGACGGUAGAUUGCGGCGAUACAAAAUCGAGGUCUUUAAACCUGGGAGGACUAUUCAAUAUACGAGAAACAACAAUUAACAUCACUAUCAGUGAUACUAACUUAAACAUUCCACUGUUUAACUGUCAAUAACGAACUACUAGAAUGAGAACAAGCAGUGUAACGUAUGAAGAAUGUACCCUUAGUAGUUUACACAUGUAUAUACUGUCAAUAUUGAAUAUCCCCCCUUUAUUGAAUAGGGGAUAUCCGACUAAUAAUUUUCAACAACCUGUUGACAUAAUUGACAUAAAAUAAGGACUAACUCG